Molecule: ribosomal RNA, 468 nt
Filed under: uncultured bacterium
Lineage: Bacteria
Description: partial 16S ribosomal RNA
Rfam family: Bacterial small subunit ribosomal RNA
Source: RNAcentral
GAUGAACGCUAGCGAUAGGCUUAACACAUGCAAGUCGAACGGAAAGGCCCUGCUUUUGUGGGGUGCUCGAGUGGCGAACGGGUGAGUAACACGUGAGUAACCUGCCCUUGACUUUGGGAUAACUUCAGGAAACUGGGGCUAAUACCGGAUAGGAGCUCCUGCUGCAUGGUGGGGGUUGGAAAGUUUCGGCGGUUGGGGAUGGACUCGCGGCUUAUCAGCUUGUUGGUGGGGUAGUGGCUUACCAAGGCUUUGACGGGUAGCCGGCCUGAGAGGGUGACCGGCCACAUUGGGACUGAGAUACGGCCCAGACUCCUACGGGAGGCAGCAGUGGGGAAUAUUGCACAAUGGGCGGAAGCCUGAUGCAGCAACGCCGCGUGCGGGAUGACGGCCUUCGGGUUGUAAACCGCUUUCGCCUGUGACGAAGCGUGAGUGACGGUAAUGGGUAAAGAAGCACCGGCUAACUACGUG